Molecule: long non-coding RNA, 468 nt
Filed under: Sus scrofa (pig)
Lineage: Eukaryota; Metazoa; Chordata; Mammalia; Artiodactyla; Suidae
Description: lncRNA (ENSSSCG00040054849.1, ENSSSCG00060044309.1)
Source: RNAcentral
CUGUUUGAAGUUCACUGGCUAGAAUUAGCCACAUGAUCCCACCCAAUCACAAGGAGGACAGCGAUCAUCUACAGCAUUUGUGAAAGAUGGAAAGGGAGGAAUAUUUGGUAAGCAUCGGUAAAACUAUCACGACCUGCCUACAAGAUCAUCCAUCAAAUAUUUAACAGAUACCAUAUAAUUCAUAAAAAGGUUUUUAAAAAAAUCAAAGCGGCCCCAUCACUGCCACCAUCUGACUUGACGGCAACGCCCUUCUUGCAGCCAAAGCUGAGAGCCCUGUUUGCCUUCACCCUGGGAGGGUUCAACACUUCUUAAGCCUGGGUUCACCCAGAAAACAGGCUGAGAUGUAUAUGUUGUACUUUGAUGGCCAAGUGUGGUCCUGGGGAACAACCAAGGGAUGGAUGGAUGAAAUGAGGAAAGCAAGAGAGCCAACAUAAGAAUGGUCCAUUGAGUGGACCACUGUGAGGCUGC